AUAAUCUACGUGCCAAUUAUAACAUAGGGAACUUUAAUUGAUUCAACUCCCCCGUUCCCUAAAUCUUUUCUUUUCUUUCUUCUUUUUUUUUUAAUUAAUUAACUCACCAUUUAUGUGUAUUAGGGACUCCUUUGCAUGAGUACAAGGUCCCUUUUAGCUUGAUCUUGGCUUAAUACUCUAUUAUAGCAUGAAAUCCCUUAUUUUCCACCCGGAUGAACAGUAAUCCGGACUGACAGUGGGUUACUUCAUCCCGAUUUUGAUCCACUCUUAGGACUCCAAAUUUGAUGAAAUUUUUACCUAACAUUCUACACUCAUAGAGGAUUCCAAAGAGAUACAUGCAUCAUCAUUGGAGGCCGUUUGACCCCCUAAAUAAUUCACCGAAGUUGGAACUUCGACACAGUUUUUCCGUAAUGCCGGAAAAAUUUGUCGAAAUCCGAUUGUUCCUCUUUUAACCACCUCUACAACCCUUAUCUGACCCCUUUAGACUACAUCCACCCUUUGUAUAGCCUAAUAUCAUCAAAAGACUAGAUAGGGAUGGAUAUUUACCUUUUUCUUUUUGGAAAUCGAGGUCCUUGCGUAGAGGAGAAGGAGAUCUACACUUUUCCCUUCAGUUGGCA
RNAcentral lists this long non-coding RNA (617 nucleotides) under Phoenix dactylifera (date palm). RNAcentral describes it as "long non-coding RNA (PDAC_LNC011889)". Lineage: Eukaryota; Viridiplantae; Streptophyta; Magnoliopsida; Arecales; Arecaceae. The record is from RNAcentral.